This 460-nucleotide ribosomal RNA is filed under the name uncultured bacterium. RNAcentral describes it as "bacterial SSU rRNA". It matches the Rfam family "Bacterial small subunit ribosomal RNA", at positions 339 to 791 of the family's 1533-position model. The record is from RNAcentral.
UUACGGGAGGCAGCAGUGGGGAAUUUUGGACAAUGGGCGCAAGCCUGAUCCAGCCAUGCCGCGUGCGGGAAGAAGGCCUUCGGGUUGUAAACCGCUUUUGUUCGGGAAGAAAUUGACUGGGCUAAUACCCCGGUUAGAUGACGGUACCGGAAGAAUAAGCACCGGCUAACUACGUGCCAGCAGCCGCGGUAAUACGUAGGGUGCGAGCGUUAAUCGGAAUUACUGGGCGUAAAGCGUGCGCAGGCGGUUUCGCAAGUCAGAUGUGAAAGCCCCGGGCUCAACCUGGGAACUGCAUUUGAAACUACGAAGCUAGAGUGUGUCAGAGGGGGGUAGAAUUCCACGUGUAGCAGUGAAAUGCGUAGAGAUGUGGAGGAAUACCAAUGGCGAAGGCAGCCCCCUGGGAUAACACUGACGCUCAUGCACGAAAGCGUGGGGAGCAAACAGGAUUAGAUACCCUGGU